GUGAUUCUUCUGCCUCAGCCUCCCAAGUAGCUGGGAUUACAGAAACUCCUCCUACCCAUGGAAUCUGCCAGCAGUUGGAUUCUUGACUAUCUUUAGGACUUUUCCUAAUCUCACCUUCUCCAUCUGUGAAAUGGAAAUAAUCAAAGGCUCAACAAUCCUUCUGUGAAAGAGGCAUAUUUUGUGGUGCUAUGUGCUGAUCUUCCACACAGCCAAAUGGAGGCAGAGGUCACAGAGGAACUAGAAGGAUGGAAAACUGCAGGAGAGUCUCGUUGCCAUCACUCAGUCAAUCAACCAGUUUUGGAUACCUGCCAUGUGCCAAGCCCUGACUGCA
RNAcentral lists this long non-coding RNA (331 nucleotides) under Homo sapiens (human). RNAcentral describes it as "HSALNT0302372". The record is from RNAcentral. Lineage: Eukaryota; Metazoa; Chordata; Mammalia; Primates; Hominidae.